GGGUCAAAGAUGAGAACUCAUAUUGUCUCGAAGAGAGAUGAUGACCUAAAAUAGGAUUACACUAAGACCC
RNAcentral lists this small nucleolar RNA (70 nucleotides) under Zalophus californianus (California sea lion). RNAcentral's name for it is "Small nucleolar RNA SNORD115 (ENSZCAG00015006333.1)". It matches the Rfam family "Small nucleolar RNA SNORD115". Rfam says of the family: HBII-52 is a member of the C/D class of snoRNAs, which contain the C (UGAUGA) and D (CUGA) box motifs. HBII-52 is encoded in a tandemly repeated array with another C/D snoRNA, HBII-85, in the Prader-Willi syndrome (PWS) region of chromosome 15. The record is from RNAcentral. RNAcentral also lists the same sequence under 1 other name. Lineage: Eukaryota; Metazoa; Chordata; Mammalia; Carnivora; Otariidae.